GACGAACGCUGGCGGCGCGCCUAACACAUGCAAGUCGAACGGAGUCAAGAGGAGCUUGCUUUUCUUGACUUAGUGGCGAACGGGUGAGUAACGCGUGAGUAACCUGCCCUGGAGUGGGGGACAACAGUUGGAAACGACUGCUAAUACCGCAUAAGCCCACGGAUCCGCAUGGAUCUGCGGGAAAAGGAUUUAUUCGCUUCAGGAUGGACUCGCGUCCAACUAGCUAGUUGGUGAGGUAACGGCCCACCAAGGCGACGAUUGGUAGCCGGACUGAGAGGUUGAACGGCCACAUUGGGACUGAGACACGGCCCAGACUCCUACGGGAGGCAGCAGUGGGGGAUAUUGCACAAUGGGGGAAACCCUGAUGCAGCGACGCCGCGUGGAGGAAGAAGGUUUUCGGAUUGUAAACUCCUGUCGUUAGGGACGAUAAUGACGGUACCUAACAAGAAAGCACCGGCUAACUACGUG
Molecule: ribosomal RNA, 468 nt
Filed under: uncultured bacterium
Lineage: Bacteria
Description: partial 16S ribosomal RNA
Rfam family: Bacterial small subunit ribosomal RNA
Source: RNAcentral